Molecule: long non-coding RNA, 715 nt
Organism: Phasianus colchicus (ring-necked pheasant)
Lineage: Eukaryota; Metazoa; Chordata; Aves; Galliformes; Phasianidae
Source: RefSeq, a predicted model, not a curated record
UGGCUUUAACGGAAGGAGAAGAAGCCAAAGUUAAAAUAUUCAGUUCAUUGGGAAUUUCAGAAAGAGCCCAUCACUCUGCAUCUCUACUUCUCCAGGCAGAGCAAGAUAAAUGCGAUGUUGUGAAAAUAAAACCAUGGAGGGCUGCGAGCACUUGGCCACAGUGUAGAUGACAACAAUAAAAGUUUCUUCAGUAGAGAGCAAUAUAUGACCUUGGUCACAUACGACAUGGUGAGAGGACGACUGAACUUCAUAUGGUACAUUUCUGACCUUUCUUCAUUGAGAAGCAAGAAGUAUUUUCCACUGUGACACAGCAGUUUUCCAAGAGAACUUUGACAUUUUUGAAGUCAAGCUGGUAAGACAGAUAAAGCACACUCAAUGAUAUAUUAUUCCAUUUUGUCCAUUGCAUAUUCAGUAAAUUUGAAGAAGAAAGUCAGUCUCCAAUUCCUAAAAAUAAUAUUCCUCGAGAUUUCAUUUAAUUCAAAUAAUAUACAUUAACAAUGCAUACUUUGCUUUUCUUGUGGGGUGAUGCUCCAUAACUUGUUCAUUCUUUGCUCUUUUAAUAUGUUGUAGACAGCUGCUAUGCAUACACUAGUUCCAGUGCCUUAAAAUUACUUCAAAGGAAAUGCUGUAGCCUUUCAUUUCCCUUUAAUGGUAAUAUUAACAACACACGCUUAAUAAUUUAUUUUUUUAUUUUAGUCUGUUGGUGGAUGAGAAG